RNAcentral lists this ribosomal RNA (285 nucleotides) under Hirudo verbana. RNAcentral describes it as "partial small subunit ribosomal RNA". The record is from RNAcentral. Lineage: Eukaryota; Metazoa; Annelida; Clitellata; Hirudinida; Hirudinidae.
GGAGAGUACGAGCAAUAGCUUAAAAACUAAAGAAUAUGGCGGUGUUUUAUUCGAUCAGGGUGACAUGUAUCUUAAUUUGAUAGUCCACGGUUUUUAAGCCUGGCUUUGAAAUUCAGCAUGUGUACUGCCGUUUUACAUAGUUUUAAAAAAUUGUGUAUGAUAUAUGAAUUUUCAUAUAGUUAGUCAGGUCAAAGCGCAGUCUAUAGUCAGGUGAGAUUGUGUUACAUUUAUUUAAACAUUCAAUUUAUUGAUUUAAAUUUUAAUAAGAAGAAGAACUUGAUAGUA